UACAGGGGGUGCAAGCGUUAAUCGGAAUUACUGGGCGUAAAGCGUGCGCAGACGGUUGCGUGAGUCAGAUGUGAAAGCCCCGGGCUCAACCUGGGAAUUGCAUUUGAGACUGCGUAGCUAGGGUGCGGAAGAGGGAAGCGGAAUUUCCGGUGUAGCGGUGAAAUGCGUAGAUAUCGGAAGGAACACCAGUGGCGAAAGCGGCUUCCUGGUCCAGCACCGACGUUCAGGCACGAAAGCGUGGGGAGCAAACAGG
This 253-nucleotide ribosomal RNA is filed under the name uncultured bacterium. RNAcentral's name for it is "partial 16S ribosomal RNA". It matches the Rfam family "Bacterial small subunit ribosomal RNA", at positions 524 to 776 of the family's 1533-position model. The record is from RNAcentral.